AAGAGUUGCAGAUCAGCCUCCAGCAAGUUUCAAAUGAAAGAAAUGAGAUGAAGUGGGAACUAGAGAGGAAAAAGGCUCAGCUAGAGGCAACUGAGGAAAAGGUCGAUAAAGAAAAGCACAAGAGAAAGAAGGUGAAAGUGGGCAUAGAACAGGCUGACCUCUGCUUAGAAAUUAUCAAAGAGCAGUUGAAACAAGUUGAGAAAUAAUGCCAAAAGAAUAAGUGAUGGUGGCUACGAGCAACAAAAGAAAAGAAAGAAGUUAGAGAGACAUUAGAGGCUAAGAUACAUGAUCUCAUUGUCUCCCUUCAUAAUUCUGAAGCUCAAGCGGAG
This 329-nucleotide long non-coding RNA is filed under the name Lathyrus oleraceus (garden pea). RNAcentral's name for it is "Pisum sativum (pea) long non-coding RNA (PSAT_LNC006574)". The record is from RNAcentral. Lineage: Eukaryota; Viridiplantae; Streptophyta; Magnoliopsida; Fabales; Fabaceae.